UACGUAGGGGGCAAGCGUUGUCCGGAUUUACUGGGCGUAAAGCGCGUGUAGGCGGUUGCCAAAGUCGGGGGUGAAAGCCUUGAGCUCAACUCAAGAAUUGCACUCGAUACUUGGUGACUAGAGGACCGGAGAGGAUAGUGGAAUUCCCAGUGUAGUGGUGAAAUACGUAGAGAUUGGGAAGAACACCAGUGGCGAAGGCGGCUAUCUGGACGGUUUCUGACGCUAAGACGCGAAAGCGUGGGGAGCAAACAGG
Molecule: ribosomal RNA, 253 nt
Filed under: uncultured bacterium
Lineage: Bacteria
Description: partial 16S ribosomal RNA
Rfam family: Bacterial small subunit ribosomal RNA
Source: RNAcentral